CGGAUCCAUCUAUGGUUGUGCAGACAGCUUUGGCUAAUUUCAGGGCGUAUCAACUCCACUCAGCUCCCUUACGCUUUAGAUCUCCUCUGGCCUCCACCGAUCAGUCUCAUCUAUGGCGUCCCCCUGCAAAAGGAACCUUAAAAUGUAACAUUGAUGCAAGCUAUCAGCCGGGCAGCGCUGAAGGUCGAAUUGCGUGUAUCUACAGAGACGAGCAAGGGAGACUUACCGACGUGUACACAACUCGAGUCCAGGCGCACUCCGCUUUUGAAGCCGAACUCCAGGCCCUAACGUCUGCUCUACACCAUCUGAUCGAUCGACGUCUUCACAGAGGGUCGCUAGAGUUGGAAACUGACUACUUGAAUCUUGUUGAAAUCAUCAAAGGGCAUCGACAGCCACCCUGGGAGCUGCGAUCGCUGAUUGACGAAGCAGCCGCUCUGCUUGUUGAUU
RNAcentral lists this long non-coding RNA (447 nucleotides) under Eucalyptus grandis. RNAcentral describes it as "long non-coding RNA (EGRA_LNC005254)". The record is from RNAcentral. Lineage: Eukaryota; Viridiplantae; Streptophyta; Magnoliopsida; Myrtales; Myrtaceae.